RNAcentral lists this ribosomal RNA (253 nucleotides) under uncultured bacterium. Its description in RNAcentral is "partial 16S ribosomal RNA". It matches the Rfam family "Bacterial small subunit ribosomal RNA", at positions 524 to 776 of the family's 1533-position model. The record is from RNAcentral.
UACGGAGGGUGCAAGCGUUCUCCGGAUUUAUUGGGUUUAAAGGGUCCGUAGGCGGAUCUGUAAGUCAGUGGUGAAAUCUCACAGCUUAACUGUGAAACUGCCAUUGAUACUGCAGGUCUUGAGUGUUAUUGAAGUAGCUGGAAUAAGUAGUGUAGCGGUGAAAUGCAUAGAUAUUACUUAGAACACCAAUUGCGAAGGCAGGUUACUAAGCAACAACUGACGCUGAUGGACGAAAGCGUGGGGAGCGAACAGG